UCUCAUCGGUGAGGAGAAACUGCACUCGCACACCGAGACCGUCUGCGGGACAACUACGUCUGCCCCAAGUGAAGUACUCCGGAGACUCGUGCCUCGGUGGAGCGACCACCGACAAGCAAAACAGACUAGUGAGUAUGAUCCAAUCCUCUCAAGAGGAUACCCUGUCUACUAGGGUCAAUGUGCCUCUGCUGCACAGUCAUGAUAUAUAAUCAAUGUUGGGACCUCUACUAUCCCUAGGUUCAUGUCAAGUUUACUACAUUAGACUCAAUGCCACUCGUUCGAUCAU
RNAcentral lists this long non-coding RNA (286 nucleotides) under Ananas comosus (pineapple). Its description in RNAcentral is "long non-coding RNA (ACOM_LNC022182)". Lineage: Eukaryota; Viridiplantae; Streptophyta; Magnoliopsida; Poales; Bromeliaceae. The record is from RNAcentral.